AGAAUAAAACGUGAAGGAUAACGUUGCGUCAGCAACGGCCCGUAGGGCGAGGCGAAGCCGAGUCAUCCUGCACGACCCAUCA
RNAcentral lists this small RNA (82 nucleotides) under Salmonella enterica subsp. enterica serovar Anatum. RNAcentral describes it as "partial RtT sRNA". It matches the Rfam family "RtT RNA", at positions 46 to 130 of the family's 130-position model. From Rfam's summary of the family: This family represents a bacterial cis-regulatory element known as RtT RNA. The exact function of RtT is unknown although it is thought that it may be involved in changing the cellular response in relation to amino acid starvation. The record is from RNAcentral. Lineage: Bacteria; Pseudomonadati; Pseudomonadota; Gammaproteobacteria; Enterobacterales; Enterobacteriaceae.